Molecule: non-coding RNA, 45 nt
Filed under: Schistosoma bovis
Lineage: Eukaryota; Metazoa; Platyhelminthes; Trematoda; Strigeidida; Schistosomatidae
Also listed under: 1 other name
Source: RNAcentral
AUUCAGCUGACGAGUCCCAAAUAGGAUGAACCGCGCGUCAUGAAC